This 2990-nucleotide ribosomal RNA is filed under the name Salmonella enterica subsp. enterica. RNAcentral describes it as "23S ribosomal RNA". It matches the Rfam family "Bacterial large subunit ribosomal RNA". The record is from RNAcentral. Lineage: Bacteria; Pseudomonadati; Pseudomonadota; Gammaproteobacteria; Enterobacterales; Enterobacteriaceae.
GGUUAAGCGACUAAGCGUACACGGUGGAUGCCCUGGCAGUCAGAGGCGAUGAAGGGCGUGCUAAUCUGCGAUAAGCGCCGGUAAGGUGAUAUGAACCGUUAUAACCGGCGAUACCCGAAUGGGGAAACCCAGUGUGAUUCGUCACACUAUCAUUACGUGAAUACAUAGCGUAAUGAAGCGAACCGGGGGAACUGAAACAUCUAAGUACCCCGAGGAAAAGAAAUCAACCGAGAUUCCCCCAGUAGCGGCGAGCGAACGGGGAGGAGCCCAGAGCCUGAAUCAGCAUGUGUGUUAGUGGAAGCGUCUGGAAAGGCGCGCGAUACAGGGUGACAGCCCCGUACACAAAAGCGCAUGUGCUGUGAGCUCGAUGAGUAGGGCGGGACACGUGGUAUCCUGUCUGAAUAUGGGGGGACCAUCCUCCAAGGCUAAAUACUCCUGACUGACCGAUAGUGAACCAGUACCGUGAGGGAAAGGCGAAAAGAACCCCGGCGAGGGGAGUGAAAAAGAACCUGAAACCGUGUACGUACAAGCAGUGGGAGCACCCUUCGGGGUGUGACUGCGUACCUUUUGUAUAAUGGGUCAGCGACUUAUAUUCUGUAGCAAGGUUAACCGUAUAGGGGAGCCGGAGGGAAACCGAGUCUUAAUUGGGCGUUAAGUUGCAGGGUAUAGACCCGAAACCCGGUGAUCUAGCCAUGGGCAGGUUGAAGGUUGGGUAACACUAACUGGAGGACCGAACCGACUAAUGUUGAAAAAUUAGCGGAUGACCUGUGGCUGGGGGUGAAAGGCCAAUCAAACCGGGAGAUAGCUGGUUCUCCCCGAAAGCUAUUUAGGUAGCGCCUCGUGAAUUCAUCUCCGGGGGUAGAGCACUGUUUCGGCUAGGGGGCCAUCCCGGCUUACCAACCCGAUGCAAACUGCGAAUACCGGAGAAUGUUAUCACGGGAGACACACGGCGGGUGCUAACGUCCGUCGUGAAGAGGGAAACAACCCAGACCGCCAGCUAAGGUCCCAAAGUCAUGGUUAAGUGGGAAACGAUGUGGGAAGGCCCAGACAGCCAGGAUGUUGGCUUAGAAGCAGCCAUCAUUUAAAGAAAGCGUAAUAGCUCACUGGUCGAGUCGGCCUGCGCGGAAGAUGUAACGGGGCUAAACCAUGCACCGAAGCUGCGGCAGCGAACGUAUCACCCAAGACAACUUUACGGAGUUGACGAUUGACGGAGCGAAGCGACGUCAAAGCGUUCAUUAAAGUCGAGUUGGCUUAGGGAUACGUUCGUUGGGUAGGGGAGCGUUCUGUAAGCCUGUGAAGGUGUGUCGUGAGGCAUGCUGGAGGUAUCAGAAGUGCGAAUGCUGACAUAAGUAACGAUAAAGCGGGUGAAAAGCCCGCUCGCCGGAAGACCAAGGGUUCCUGUCCAACGUUAAUCGGGGCAGGGUGAGUCGACCCCUAAGGCGAGGCCGAAAGGCGUAGUCGAUGGGAAACGGGUUAAUAUUCCCGUACUUGGUGUUACUGCGAAGGGGGGACGGAGAAGGCUAUGUUGGCCGGGCGACGGUUGUCCCGGUUUAAGCGUGUAGGUGUGUGUUCCAGGUAAAUCCGGUUCACUUUAACACUGAGGCGUGACGACGAGGCACUACGGUGCUGAAGCAACAAAUGCCCUGCUUCCAGGAAAAGCCUCUAAGCAUCAGGUAACAUCAAAUCGUACCCCAAACCGACACAGGUGGUCAGGUAGAGAAUACCAAGGCGCUUGAGAGAACUCGGGUGAAGGAACUAGGCAAAAUGGUGCCGUAACUUCGGGAGAAGGCACGCUGACACGUAGGUGAAGUGAUUUACUCAUGGAGCUGAAGUCAGUCGAAGAUACCAGCUGGCUGCAACUGUUUAUUAAAAACACAGCACUGUGCAAACACGAAAGUGGACGUAUACGGUGUGACGCCUGCCCGGUGCCGGAAGGUUAAUUGAUGGGGUCAGCGCAAGCGAAGCUCCUGAUCGAAGCCCCGGUAAACGGCGGCCGUAACUAUAACGGUCCUAAGGUAGCGAAAUUCCUUGUCGGGUAAGUUCCGACCUGCACGAAUGGCGUAAUGAUGGCCAGGCUGUCUCCACCCGAGACUCAGUGAAAUUGAACUCGCUGUGAAGAUGCAGUGUACCCGCGGCAAGACGGAAAGACCCCGUGAACCUUUACUAUAGCUUGACACUGAACAUUGAGCCUUGAUGUGUAGGAUAGGUGGGAGGCUUUGAAGUGUGGACGCCAGUCUGCAUGGAGCCGACCUUGAAAUACCACCCUUUAAUGUUUGAUGUUCUAACGUGGACCCGUAAUCCGGGUUGCGGACAGUGUCUGGUGGGUAGUUUGACUGGGGCGGUCUCCUCCUAAAGAGUAACGGAGGAGCACGAAGGUUGGCUAAUCCUGGUCGGACAUCAGGAGGUUAGUGCAAUGGCAUAAGCCAGCUUGACUGCGAGCGUGACGGCGCGAGCAGGUGCGAAAGCAGGUCAUAGUGAUCCGGUGGUUCUGAAUGGAAGGGCCAUCGCUCAACGGAUAAAAGGUACUCCGGGGAUAACAGGCUGAUACCGCCCAAGAGUUCAUAUCGACGGCGGUGUUUGGCACCUCGAUGUCGGCUCAUCACAUCCUGGGGCUGAAGUAGGUCCCAAGGGUAUGGCUGUUCGCCAUUUAAAGUGGUACGCGAGCUGGGUUUAGAACGUCGUGAGACAGUUCGGUCCCUAUCUGCCGUGGGCGCUGGAGAACUGAGGGGGGCUGCUCCUAGUACGAGAGGACCGGAGUGGACGCAUCACUGGUGUUCGGGUUGUCAUGCCAAUGGCACUGCCCGGUAGCUAAAUGCGGAAGAGAUAAGUGCUGAAAGCAUCUAAGCACGAAACUUGCCCCGAGAUGAGUUCUCCCUGAGACUUAGAGUCUCCUGAAGGAACGUUGAAGACGACGACGUUGAUAGGCCGGGUGUGUAAGCGCAGCGAUGCGUUGAGCUAACCGGUACUAAUGAACCGUGAGGCUUAACCUU